GAGGGAGAGUGCCCAUUCCAUUGUUCCAGAUGAUGUGUCGGUUCCUGCUGAUAACAUUUGCUGUUGACAAAAUUUGCAUUAUUUUCUGCUAGUCUAAAGCAUGGAUUAAAGGCUUUGCUUAUAUUUUUCUCCUUUCUUCGGAGUAGCGUCGUAUAUAACGGCCUGUAGCUUUGACCAGCUUACAUUACAGUGGAAUCAGGACGGCACGGACUGUUUUCCUUGUACACUCGAUUCCCCAGUGGUGCAGUGCCGGUGGCAAAGAACAUUCCCAAAACACUAGGAUCACAACUCAGAAAGAAGGCUAACUAUUUCUGGGCGUGGCCUAUACUUUGCCAGCAGCGGUUGAAUUCUUGGCAUAGUAAGCCCAGCAGCUUCGCUCAUUUCCACCAAUUCUUUCCCACGUCUUUCCCAUUUAAAGCAUUGAAUGAGUGAGCCCAAUGCCAACCUCACAACUUGUCUAGCUAAAUUUUCACCAAGACGUGCUCUUUGACCACAUACCCAAACGGCUUACAAACGUUUCAGGCUUAAAUUUCGUGGAUUCAUCAA
Molecule: non-coding RNA, 546 nt
Organism: Coffea arabica (coffee)
Lineage: Eukaryota; Viridiplantae; Streptophyta; Magnoliopsida; Gentianales; Rubiaceae
Source: RefSeq, a predicted model, not a curated record